GCAAGGUUGUGAACAGUCUUAUGGAGAUGAUCACAUGGGGAGGAAAGCAAGCCUCUUGCAGUCCUCCUGAGCCUGGAAGAAGAUCCUUUAGUCCCAGAGCCCUGACUGAUAGACUCCUCACCUUAACUGUGAUAUAAAAUGCAAAGUACAAAUUUCA
Leopardus geoffroyi (Geoffroy's cat) is the source of this 157-nucleotide long non-coding RNA. RefSeq lists it as uncharacterized. The transcript is spliced from 2 exons. NCBI's taxonomy places the organism in Eukaryota, Metazoa, Chordata, Mammalia, Carnivora, Felidae. The record is from RefSeq and is a predicted model, not a curated record.